GACGAACGCUGGCGGCGUGCUUAACACAUGCAAGUCGAACGGACAGGCCCUGCGUUUGUUGCUUUCUCGAGUGCCGAACGCGUGUGUAUCACGUGAGUAUCCUCCCCUUGUCUUUGGGAUAACUUCUGGAAACUCCGGCUAUUACACCAUAGGAUCUCCUGCUGCAUGUUGGUGGUUGGAAAGUUUCGGCUGUGGGGGAUGGACUCGCGGCUUAUCAGCUUGUUUGUGGGGUAGUGGCUUACCAAGCCUUUGACGGCUAGCCGGCCUGAGAGGGUGAACGGCCACAAUGGGACUGAGAGACGGACCAGAAGGCAACGGGAGGCAGUAGGGGGGAGUAUUACGGAAUGGGCGGGAGCGUGAUGCAGAAACGCCGCGAGCGGGAUAACGGCCUUCGGGUUAUAAACCGAUUUGGACUGAGACGAAGAGUGAGUGACGGUAAUGGGUAAAAAAGCAACGGCUAACUACGUG
RNAcentral lists this ribosomal RNA (468 nucleotides) under uncultured bacterium. Its description in RNAcentral is "partial 16S ribosomal RNA". It matches the Rfam family "Bacterial small subunit ribosomal RNA", at positions 28 to 507 of the family's 1533-position model. The record is from RNAcentral.